Long non-coding RNA from Salvia splendens (bonfire salvia), 699 nucleotides. RefSeq lists it as uncharacterized. The transcript has 4 exons. The record is from RefSeq and is a predicted model, not a curated record. Lineage: Eukaryota; Viridiplantae; Streptophyta; Magnoliopsida; Lamiales; Lamiaceae.
AGUGCUUGCAAACGUAUGCUUUCUUUUUUCAUAGAAAUUUGUGGGAUAAUUUGCAAGCACCUAUGAGUUGAGCUUGCAAAUAUUUUAAAUCCCCCGCCAAUUAUUUGGGCUGACAUCCCAAGUCUCUGCAUUUCAAACCCUAUUAAUUUUUCCUCAAAUUCUUUUUCCCAUUUCUCCAAUUUCCAAAUUCUCUCUUCGCAUUUCUCUAUUUCUCAAAUUCCCAAAUUCUCGUUUCGUGCCGCCGGUGUCCUGCUCUGCCACCGGUCGCCCUUGCUAUACCGCCGGACUAUGGCUUUGCCACCGGUCGCCCUUGCUCCGCCGCUGGCUUCCUGCUCCGCCAGCAACAGCUUUCAGCUUUUCUUCGUAGCAAGGUUUGUUGGAUUUUCUCCAAUUCGUCGGAUCACAUUUCUCUGAUUUUCUCUGGAUUUUCUUCGAAUUCAUAAACACGUGCUGAGCUUGCUUUCUGGAGCCAUUUUUCGCACUGCAGGAAAUACGAGAGGAGUUGCGCUUAGAAUAACGACAAGAAAUACAUCAAUGCGCAUCUGAAGUAUUUUCUUGAUCCUAAACUUAGGUUAUGUUAAUACGACAGCUGGUAAAGGUCCUUAGUCAAAAAGUUCAAGAGAUGAGAAGAAGUGAAUAGAUUUAGCUUGUGUUAGGUUUUGACAUUUAUAUUUUCUAUUCUAGCUUCAUAGUUUCUAA